UAAAAUAAAGGUCUUUUGUAAAAAAAUUAAAAAAUAAAAUUAAGGUCAUAUUAUAUGUGUCUUUAAGGCACAUAAUAAACUAUCCAAAUUUUUUUUAAAAAAAAAAAAACUUCACAUUAAAUAAUAUAAAAAAUUGGGAAAAUUACACUCACCUCCCCCGAGAUAUAUUAAAAUGACAAUGACAGCCCCUCUAAUUUUAAAACUUACAUUAACCUCCCUUAAGUUCAUAUCAAAUACACAAACUUCUUCCCCUUAUUAACUAGCAUUGUUAACUUUCCGUUAAUUUUUUUUUUUCUAGUAGCAGCCCUAACAUAUCUAGUUACACCCAGAAUGACCAAAAUGGCCCUAUUCUAAAAUUAAAUUUUCAAUAUCAAACCUAAGUUGAAAAACUGAAAUUUCAAAGCAACCUUGAUACGAAGAAGAAGCAACGACGGAUACCAAACAUUAACUAUAUACUCCUAGAAGUCUAGAAAGACUCUUAAGAUACGAAACUAUUGCUCGUGUUGAAUUUUAUUGGGCAAAACUGUGAACAUAAAAAACAAAUACGUAUGAUUCCUAGAAGUCUAGAACGCAUCAAAAAAUUGAAAACACAUAAUUUGGUUAGAAAAUAUAGAAAACCCAGUGUCAAUGUUGAUAUCAGAAAACAAUAAAUAUCCAAUUCAUUGGGUUCGAUAUAGAGAGAAUGUUAGGGUGUGUUUGGUAACACAAAUAAGCUAGCUUAUAGCUUAUUAUAUAAGCUUAUAAGCUUGUUUCAAAAAAUUAGAGGUGUUUGGUAACAAACUUUUUGUACUAGCUUAUAGCUUUUUUUCAGAUACUAUUUGAAGUAGCAUUUGACUUUAUAGCUUAUAGCUUUUUACACUUUAUUCCAUUUUUACCCUUUAAUUUAAUAACUACCCACUCUAAAAAAUAAACUAGUCACUAUUAAUUAUGUAAUUUUAUAUUUAAUAAUCACUUUAAAAACUAAUUUUACCAAACACAUUAAUUUCAAUAAGUUAGCUUUUCAGCUAUCAGCUAGCUUAUAGCUUAUUUUUACCAAACAGACCUUAGUGUUCUUUCGUCUUCUUCGAUCACAGAGAAACCCUAAAAUAAUAAAUUAAAUCAAUACAACUAAUGACGGUUGAACUUAAAAAAAAAGUUAACGUAGAAUUAACGGUGUUAAUAGAUAAAUGAGGUAUUUGUGUAUUUGAUAAAAAUUUAAGGGAGAUUAGUGCAAGUUUUAAAACUAGAGGGGAUGUUAGUGUUAUUUUAAUAGACUUCAGAGGAGGUUAGUGUAAUUUUCCCUAAAAUAUCUUCUUCUUUUUUUUUUGACGCCCUAAAAUAUCUAAUAUUAAAAAGAUUCAUUCCACAAAUAAAAAAGAAAAUAGACACAUAUAACAUUUUUCAUAAAAUAAAAUUAUAUGCACUCACAAUUAUUAUAAAGGCACCUCCAUCUUAAAGGAGUGUGACACCUUUGUUUACACUAUCAAUAAUUUAUUCACUUUUUAAUAGAGAAGGAACGUUUCACACAAUCACAAUUAGAAGAAAUGCACUUCCGAAUUAAAGGUCUAUGACAUGCCCUUGUUUCACAAUCUUCGUCCCGUUCGCAAGGCCAUGGAAUAACUACAAUGUCAAAUAAAAAUAAAAGACUGUUAAUUAUUAUAGGUGGUCAAAUAUUGUGGGAAGAAAUAGUGUUAAAUAUUGUAUAUAUAAUAUAAAAGAAAAUUUAAAAAUAGUGAGAAGAAAUGAUUUACGAGAUGGCGUUCUUAAUCCAUCAAGUACAACAAGAAAUAUAGAAAUAAAGAUUAUCAAAGUAUAAAUAAACUUGAGAAGUUUAGUCAUAGUUUUUCUUUUUUGCAUGCAACAAAUUGAAAAUCGUUUGAUCAUUUUAUAUGUAAAAACUCUAUAGUUUGUUAACUAUAAUUAAAUAGAUCGCAGCACUUUCGAGUUGCAAUAAGUCUAUCAUAAUUUUAUUGUCAAAAAAAA
Molecule: long non-coding RNA, 1962 nt
Filed under: Trifolium pratense (red clover)
Lineage: Eukaryota; Viridiplantae; Streptophyta; Magnoliopsida; Fabales; Fabaceae
Description: long non-coding RNA (TPRA_LNC012678)
Source: RNAcentral